GAUGAACGCUGGCGGCGUGCCUAAUACAUGCAAGUCGAGCGAACGGACGAGAAGCUUGCUUCUCUGAUGUUAGCGGCGGGCGGGUGAGUAACACGUGGAUAACCUACCUAUAAGACUGGGAUAACUUCGGGAAACCGGAGCUAAUACCGGAUAAUAUUUUGAACCGCAUGGUUCAAAAGUGAAAGACGGUCUUGCUGUCACUUAUAGAUGGAUCCGCGCUGCAUUAGCUAGCUGGUAGGGUAACGGCCUACCAAGGCAACGAUGCAUAGCCGACCUGAGAGGGUGAUCGGCCACACUGGAACUGAGACACGGUCCAGACUCCUACGGGAGGCAGCAGUAGGGAAUCUUCCGCAAUGGGCGAAAGCCUGACGGAGCAACGCCGCGUGAGUGAUGAAGGUCUUCGGAUCGUAAAACUCUGUUAUUAGGGAAGAACAUAUGUGUAAGUAACUGUGCACAUCUUGACGGUACCUAAUCAGAAAGCCACGGCUAACUACGUGCCAGCAGCCGCGGUAAUACGUAGGUGGCAAGCGUUAUCCGGAAUUAUUGGGCGUAAAGCGCGCGUAGGCGGUUUUUUAAGUCUGAUGUGAAAGCCCACGGCUCAACCGUGGAGGGUCAUUGGAAACUGGAAAACUUGAGUGCAGAAGAGGAAAGUGGAAUUCCAUGUGUAGCGGUGAAAUGCGCAGAGAUAUGGAGGAACACCAGUGGCGAAGGCGACUCUCUGGUCUGUAACUGACGCUGAUGUGCGAAAGCGUGGGGAUCAAACAGG
Molecule: ribosomal RNA, 766 nt
Filed under: Staphylococcus aureus
Lineage: Bacteria; Bacillati; Bacillota; Bacilli; Caryophanales; Staphylococcaceae
Description: bacterial SSU rRNA
Rfam family: Bacterial small subunit ribosomal RNA
Source: RNAcentral